Brassica napus (rape) is the source of this 336-nucleotide long non-coding RNA. RefSeq lists it as uncharacterized. The transcript is spliced from 2 exons. The record is from RefSeq and is a predicted model, not a curated record. Lineage: Eukaryota; Viridiplantae; Streptophyta; Magnoliopsida; Brassicales; Brassicaceae.
GUUUGCAGGGUGUGGAACUUGAGCUUCGAAAAUCUUCUGAACGUAUUACUGAAAUUAGGGCAAACAUUCUCUAUCUAAAAUUCAGGGAAUCAGCUAUGAGGGAGGUAAACGAGAAGACUAACAAGAGGGUUGCGCAGCUCAGCUUUAUUUCUUUAGGGCUCUGCCUUAUGGUUUCACUUUUUCAAGUUUGGCAUCUCAAACGCUUCUUCCUCAAGAGGAAGCUUAUCUAACUUCGUUGUGCUAUGUUAUUUUGAAAAAUCUUGUAACCUUGUGCCUUUUCUAGAGGUUCUAUAGUCAGGCUCCAGACCAAAUCAAUAAUGAAACACAUGUUUAAUU